CUCCGCGCGCGGCACAGCUUGCCCAGCAGACCCUGCGACACCACCUCGUCGAACCGCGCCCGGUGCUUCUUGGGGAUGAAGAUCCUGCAAGGCAAGAACCGUCGGGUCAGGCGCGACCCCUGACUGCGUUCCAAAGGCACGUCCUGGUGACUCUUCUGGCCCCUUCCCAGGGGUGACCAGGAAAAUUUCACCUUCCCCUUCGGUGAACAGACCUGUGUCCCCAGCUGUCCUAGACCUGGUCGCGUGAUGGCUGGGCAGGUAGAAGCGCUUGCUGCGGAGACUGGAGACGCGAGAGUUCGAAUCCCCGGGGACCCACAUGGCGGAAGGAGAGAAUUGACUAUCCUAGACUACACCAGGAGGGAGGCGUCCUGCUUACCCCACCUUGAGAAAGCCACACGGACUGCCAGAGAAAACUGCAUCAGCCAUCCGCAGGGGUCUGCCUUCCUCCGAGUCCCUCAUUCUUUCCGUUCUCCCGCUUGCUUCGCUGCCAGCCCUGCCCACUUGCCAAAGUGAGGGCAAUGGCCACCUCCAAGCUUUUGGCUCUGCCUGACAGACUCUCUCACUGAACCUGGAGUAAACUGAUCAGGCCAGACAGGAUGGCCUGUGAGCCCCAGGGACCCUGUCUCCACCUCCCAGUCCUGGGAUUGCAGAAUGUAUCUCCUGGCUUUCACGAGCGUGCUGGAGAGCCAACUGCAGGCCCUCGUGCUCUCAGAGCAAGCGCUUCCCCUGUUAAGCCGCCUCUCCAGCCCUAUUAUAUCAUAUAAACCUUCUUUGUGUGGGGUACAGGGGUCACACUCAGGUCUUGAGCGUAUCUUCUACCAUAGGGCUACCUCCUGCUUUUGUUUGCUUCUUUGUGGUGAGGCCUCUUCAUGUAGCUCAGGCUGGCCCUGAACCCACCCAUACACAGACUCAGACUUGCAACCCUACAUCAGGCACCUGUGUGCUGGGUUUGCUAAAAGUGUGCGCCCCCACCUUUGGUUCCAAAAACCACUGGUGUUGCUGAAAGGACAGGAGUGGAAGGAGCACAGAUGCCCCCUCCUCCAGCGCAACCCACUGUCUGGGUAGGGGGCACCGAGAGCCAGCCAGCCCCACUCCUCAGGCAGCCUGUGAGGAUCAGUUUCCUUGCUCAGGGUUGCAGCAUCGGUGAAGAGACAGGAGGCUUCCCGUCCAGACCGCACCACUUUAGUGGGGCCGGCUGUUUUGCUCUCUGCCUGGCUCACCCUUUCCUCCCCCAGAUGACACCCCCGCCCCACCAACCGUCUUUUCUGUUUCCUCCUGGACACAUCACACUUUUCCAAACUGCCUGUCCUGUCCUAAUUAGAAAGCCAUUUUACCACUUAAUCAGACUGGGAUUCCUCGGGGAACAGACCCAAAUUAGGCUCCGAGUGGCAGCAGGAAAUGCUAUUGUAAAGGAGCACAGUGCCUUUGUGUGCUGUGGCCGCAAAUCUGGACACAUUCAAGGUCUUCGCUGAUAUAUAUAUCAGAGAGAGUUGCAUGUAGCCCAGGCUAGCCUUACGCUUGCUCUGUUGCCUAUGAUGUCACUCUCUACCUCGGCCUCUCACAAGCCGCCCUCCCUGGUUUUAUGCAGUGCUGAGGAUUCAACCCAGGGGCCUUGCUGCGUGACUCAGGUUGGCCGUGAACUUGCGGUUUUCGUGUCUCAGCCCUCCCCAAGCGCUGGGAUUACUGGUGCGUGGUCACCUAACUUUGUGAAAAUGUAUACAUAAUAAAUAAGCAUCUGUAAUUAGUGGCUACUGUAGGGGAGGGCUCAGGAGCGAUCUCCCUCCACGGCUCCUCCCCCUCUGCUCCUCUCCCCUCUGCUUGGGCGGCCGCAGACACCCCAGGCACCACCUCCCGACCACAGGCCACACUUGUGUGCUGUGCGUGGGUUCUAACCUCCGUGGGAAGCUUAUUUAUUUAGAACCAGGGUAUUGAUAAACUACUCAGGUAGGCUUUGAACUUGUGAUCCUCCAGCCUUGACCUCGAAAGGAGCUGAGAUUUCAGGUGUGGCUCUAAAGAAAGCUUUAGGUGCACACACACACACACACACACACACACACACACGUCACCACCCCCAU
Molecule: long non-coding RNA, 2075 nt
Organism: Meriones unguiculatus (Mongolian gerbil)
Lineage: Eukaryota; Metazoa; Chordata; Mammalia; Rodentia; Muridae
Exons: 3
Source: RefSeq, a predicted model, not a curated record